RNAcentral lists this ribosomal RNA (391 nucleotides) under uncultured Gammaproteobacteria bacterium. RNAcentral's name for it is "bacterial SSU rRNA". It matches the Rfam family "Bacterial small subunit ribosomal RNA", at positions 370 to 779 of the family's 1533-position model. Lineage: Bacteria; Pseudomonadati; Pseudomonadota; Gammaproteobacteria. The record is from RNAcentral.
AAUGGGGGCAACCCUGAUCCAGCCAUGCCGCGUGAGUGAUGAAGGCCUUAGGGUCGUAAAGCUCUUUCGCCUGUGAAGAUAAUGACGGUAGCAGGUAAAGAAACCCCGGCUAACUCCGUGCAGCAGCCGCGGUAAUACGGAGGGGGUUAGCGUUGUUCGGAAUUACUGGGCGUAAAGCGCACGUAGGCGGACUGGAAAGUUGGGGGUGAAAUCCCAGGGCUCAACCCUGGAACUGCCUCCAAAACUAUCAGUCUAGAGUUCGAGAGAGGUGAGUGGAAUUCCGAGUGUAGAGGUGAAAUUCGUAGAUAUUCGGAGGAACACCAGUGGCGAAGGCGGCUCACUGGCUCGAUACUGACGCUGAGGUGCGAAAGUGUGGGGAGCAAACAGGAUU